UACAGAGGGUGCAAGCGUUAAUCGGAAUUACUGGGCGUAAAGCGUGCGUAGGCGGCCUUCUAAGUCGAACGUGAAAUCCCCGGGCUCAACCCGGGAACUGCGUCCGAGACUGGAAGGCUCGAAUCCGGGAGAGGGAUGUGGAAUUCCAGGUGUAGCGGUGAAAUGCGUAGAUAUCUGGAGGAACAUCGGUGGCGAAGGCGGCAUCCUGGACCGGUAUUGACGCUGAGGCGCGAAAGCCAGGGGAGCAAACGGG
RNAcentral lists this ribosomal RNA (253 nucleotides) under uncultured bacterium. Its description in RNAcentral is "partial 16S ribosomal RNA". It matches the Rfam family "Bacterial small subunit ribosomal RNA", at positions 524 to 776 of the family's 1533-position model. The record is from RNAcentral.